This 244-nucleotide unclassified non-coding RNA is filed under the name Hevea brasiliensis (rubber tree). Lineage: Eukaryota; Viridiplantae; Streptophyta; Magnoliopsida; Malpighiales; Euphorbiaceae. The record is from RNAcentral.
CACAAAUCUUAUGGUACAGUUAUCCUCCUUUUUUUAUUGUUCAUUUCUUUGUAGCAUAAUUUGGUAGACAUGGUCUUACCAUCCCUCUCUAUAUAUUCAUGUGUGGGUGAACUGAAAAGAAAUGCCCAUGAACAAGGUAGUUAAGCAUAUCAACUAUAUAUUAUGAGUACAAUUUUUUAUUUGGCUGUGCAUAUCUUCAAUUUUUCCUUUUAAAAAUGCAGCUUGUAGAAAAGUUUGGUAUUGA